RNAcentral lists this ribosomal RNA (433 nucleotides) under uncultured bacterium. Its description in RNAcentral is "partial 16S ribosomal RNA". It matches the Rfam family "Bacterial small subunit ribosomal RNA", at positions 29 to 507 of the family's 1533-position model. The record is from RNAcentral.
AACGAACGCUGGCGGCAGGCCUAACACAUGCAAGUCGAGCGCGCCCUUCGGGGUGAGCGGCGGACGGGUGAGUAACGCGUGGGAACGUGCCCUUCUCUGCGGAAUAGCCUCGGGAAACUGAGAGUAAUACCGCAUACGCCCUUUGGGGGAAAGAUUUAUCGGAGAAGGAUCGGCCCGCGUUGGAUUAGGUAGUUGGUGGGGUAAUGGCCCACCAAGCCGACGAUCCAUAGCUGGUUUGAGAGGAUGAUCAGCCACACUGGGACUGAGACACGGCCCAGACUCCUCCGGGAGGCAGCAGUGGGGAAUCUUAGACAAUGGGGGCAACCUUGAUCGAGCCAUGCCGCGUGAGGGAUGAAGGCCUUGGGGUUGUAAACCUCUUUCAUCUGGGAAGAUAAUGACGGUACCAGAAGAAGAAGCCCCGGCUAACUCCGUG